AAUUGACGGGGGCCCGCACAAGCGGUGGAGCAUGUGGUUUAAUUCGAAGCAACGCGAAGAACCUUACCAGGUCUUGACAUCCUUUGACCACUCUGGAGACAGAGCUUUCCCUUCGGGGACAAAGUGACAGGUGGUGCAUGGUUGUCGUCAGCUCGUGUCGUGAGAUGUUGGGUUAAGUCCCGCAACGAGCGCAACCCUUGAUUUUAGUUGCCAGCAUUUAGUUGGGCACUCUAAAGUGACUGCCGGUGCAAGCCGGAGGAAGGUGGGGAUGACGUCAAAUCAUCAUGCCCCUUAUGACCUGGGCUACACACGUGCUACAAUGGAUAGUACAAAGGGUCGCGAAGCCGCGAGGUGGAGCUAAUCCCAUAAAACUAUUCUCAGUUCGGAUUGUAGGCUGCAACUCGCCUACAUGAAGCCGGAAUCGCUAGUAAUCGUGGAUCAGCAUGCCACGGUGAAUACGUUCCCGGGCCUUGUACACACCGCCCGUCACACCACGAGAGUUUGUAACACCCGAAGUCGGUAGGGUAACCUUUAUGGAGCCAGCCGCCGAAGGUGGGACAGAUAAUUGGGGUGAAGUCGUAACAAGGUAGCCGUAUCGGAAGGUGCGGCUGGAUCACCUCCUUUCUAAGGAA
This 632-nucleotide ribosomal RNA is filed under the name Listeria monocytogenes. Its description in RNAcentral is "bacterial SSU rRNA". It matches the Rfam family "Bacterial small subunit ribosomal RNA", at positions 908 to 1533 of the family's 1533-position model. The record is from RNAcentral. Lineage: Bacteria; Bacillati; Bacillota; Bacilli; Caryophanales; Listeriaceae.